AAAAACCCAUAAGAGGUCCAGCCUGCCCAGUGAUUCUGUUCAACGGCCGCGGUAUCCUAACCGUGCGAAGGUAGCGUAAUCACUUGUUCUUUAAAUGAGGACUAGUAUGAAUGGCACCACGAAGGUUAUACUGUCUCCUUCCUCUAAUCAGUGAAACUAAUCUCCCCGUGAAGAAGCGGGGAUAAACCUAUAAGACGAGAAGACCCUAUGGAGCUUUAAACACAGUAAUAAAUGCCCCCCCCCCUUUUUUCUAUCCAAAUCUCCGGAAAACUACUUUAUCUGAGCAUCCUAAUUACAAGUUUUAGGUUGGGGUGACCGCGGAGUAAAAAAUAACCUCCACAGUGAAUGGGAUCUCUCCCUAAACUCAGGGCCACAGCCCUAAAAAUCAAUAAAUUGACACCCAUUGACCCAAUAUUUUUGAUCAAUGAACCAAGUUACCCUAGGGAUAACAGCGCAAUCCACUUCAAGAGCUCCUAUCGACAAGUGGGUUUACGACCUCGAUGUGGAUCAGGGUACCCCAGUGGUGCAGCCGUGCAAA
This 538-nucleotide ribosomal RNA is filed under the name Leptodactylus colombiensis. RNAcentral describes it as "partial 16S ribosomal RNA". It matches the Rfam family "Bacterial large subunit ribosomal RNA", at positions 1837 to 2568 of the family's 2925-position model. Lineage: Eukaryota; Metazoa; Chordata; Amphibia; Anura; Leptodactylidae. The record is from RNAcentral.